Molecule: ribosomal RNA, 269 nt
Filed under: uncultured bacterium
Lineage: Bacteria
Description: partial 16S ribosomal RNA
Rfam family: Bacterial small subunit ribosomal RNA
Source: RNAcentral
GGACCCCUACGGGGGGCAGCAGUGAGGAAUAUUGGUCAAUGGGCGAGAGCCUGAACCAGCCAAGUCGCGGGAGGGAAGACGGUCCUAUGGAUUGUAAACCUCUUUUGUCGGGGAGCAAAAAGGCCUCGUGAGGCCACAAGUGAGAGUACCCGAAGAAAAAGCAUCGGCUAACUCCGUGCCAGCAGCCGCGGUAAUAAGGAGGAUGCGAGCGUUAUCCGGAAUUAUUGGGUUUAAAGGGUGCGUAGGCGGACUGUUAAGUCAGCGGUAAA